Molecule: long non-coding RNA, 782 nt
Filed under: Homo sapiens (human)
Lineage: Eukaryota; Metazoa; Chordata; Mammalia; Primates; Hominidae
Description: HSALNT0321902
Source: RNAcentral
ACUCUCCUUCCACUGACCAUUGAAAAUGGGGGAAGAAAAAAGCGAUGAGGCUUCCUCUUUGAAGAUCACAGGUGAGAAGAUUAGGUGCUUUCUCAGAAGCCCAGCAACCUGAUGGGAGUGUGGAGUGAGCAAGACCCAAAUCGGAGCUUCAUCCCUGCAUGGUUCAUUUUGCUUAUUUGGCAAACUUGCCCUGCAGAAUCUACUCAAGCUUCCUCAGUUUCUCAAAUCAUUCUUGGGCAACAAAUGAACAAGAAAGAGGACGUCUUAUUAUCUGGUGUCUGGCUUGCUGAUUUAAUAACCUAGGAGACAGUGUUUGAAGAACACAAACUCUAAAGUCCUUCACUUAAAAAAAAAAAAAAACUUUCCCAAAUUGCUUACCAUUUGGAAAAAUUGCCUUACCUUCUUCAGUCAUCUCUGAUGUUGUCAUCCUCAGAGUAAGAAGUACGCAUUCAUAAGGAACCAUAACGUCCUUCAGGAAAUCCAGUACACCCUACAAUUUUACCUAAAACUUUGAUGUUGUUUUUUCUGAGCAUUUUACCUUCUAGGGAAAUGGAUCUCAUGCUGUUUAUCAGUUUCUGAAAGUUGUUAUUAAUCUCCCCUCAUCCCAAAAUUGAAGAACUUUGCUUAAAUCUUAGAAUCAGAACUUUGGCUCCAGUAAUAAAGACUUUUCAAUAUCUUUAUCUGCCAUUGAGUCUUACCUAACGAAAUAAAGCCUCCAAAGUGGGAAUUUGAAAUGUUUUAGAAUCUUUUUUUUUCCUUUUGACAUAGUGAUUGGUGGGAUG